UGGGGAAUAUUGCGCAAUGGGCGAAAGCCUGACGCAGCGACUCCGCGUGAGGGAUGAAGGUUUUCGGAUCGUAAACCUCUGUCAGAAGGGAAGAAACCGCACUGUGCUAAUCAGCAGUGCCUUGACGGUACCUUCAAAGGAAGCACCGGCUAACUCCGUGCCAGCAGCCGCGGUAAUACGGAGGGUGCAAGCGUUAAUCGGAAUUACUGGUCGUAAAGCGCACGUAGGCUGCUUUGUAAGUCAGGGGUGAAAUCCCACGGCUCAACCGUGGAACUGCCUUUGAUACUGCUUAGCUUGAAUCCGGGAGAGGGUGGCGGAAUUCCAGGUGUAGGAGUGAAAUCCGUAGAUAUCUGGAGGAACAUCAGUGGCGAAGGCGGCCACCUGGACCGGUAUUGACGCUGAGGUGCGAAAGCGUGGGGAGCAAACAGG
RNAcentral lists this ribosomal RNA (429 nucleotides) under Fusobacteriota bacterium. RNAcentral's name for it is "Fusobacteria bacterium partial 16S ribosomal RNA". It matches the Rfam family "Bacterial small subunit ribosomal RNA", at positions 355 to 776 of the family's 1533-position model. Lineage: Bacteria; Fusobacteriati; Fusobacteriota. The record is from RNAcentral.